CCUACGGGUGGCAGCAGUGAGGAAUAUUGGUCAAUGGGCGAGAGCCUGAACCAGCCAAGUCGCGUGAGGGCAGACGGUCCUAUGGAUUGUCAACCUCUUUUGCCGGGGAGCAAAAAGCGGUACGUGUACCGCAUCGAGAGUACCCGGAGAAAAAGCAUCGGCUAACUCCGUGCCAGCAGCCGCGGUAAUACGGAUGAUGCGAGCGUUAUCCGGAUUUAUUGGGUUAAAAGGGUGCGCAGGCGGCGAGUUACUUCAGCGGUAAAAUUUCGGGGCUCAACCCCGACGAGCCGUUGAGACUGGCUUGCUAGAGUGGGCGAGAAGUAUGCGGAAUGUAUGGUGUAGCGGUGAAAUGCUUAGAGAUCAUACAGAACACCGAUUGCGAAGGCAGCUUACCAAGCUACUUCUGACGUUGAGGCACGAAAGCGUGGGGAGCAAACAGGAUUAGAUACCCUAGUAGUC
This 459-nucleotide ribosomal RNA is filed under the name uncultured bacterium. RNAcentral describes it as "partial 16S ribosomal RNA". It matches the Rfam family "Bacterial small subunit ribosomal RNA", at positions 338 to 795 of the family's 1533-position model. The record is from RNAcentral.